This 468-nucleotide ribosomal RNA is filed under the name uncultured bacterium. Its description in RNAcentral is "partial 16S ribosomal RNA". It matches the Rfam family "Bacterial small subunit ribosomal RNA", at positions 28 to 507 of the family's 1533-position model. The record is from RNAcentral.
GACGAACGCUGGCGGCGUGCUUAACACAUGCAAGUCGAACGGAAAGGCCCUGCUUUUGUGGGGUGCUCGAGUGGCGAACGGGUGAGUAACACGUGAGUAACCUGUCACUGACCUUGGGAUAACUUCAGGAAACUGGGGCUAAUACCGGAUAGGAGCUCUUGCUGCAUGGUGGGGGUUGGAAAGUUUCGGCGGUUGGGGAUGGACUCGCGGCUGAUCAGCUUGUUGGUGGGGUAGUGUCAUACCAAGGCUUUGACGGGUAGCCGGCCUGAUAGGGUGACCGGCCACAUUGGGACUGAGAUACGGCCCAGACUCCUACGGGAGGCAGCAGUGGGGAAUAUUGCACAAUGGGCGGAAGCCUGAUGCAGCAACGCCGCGUGCGGGAUGACGGCCUUCGGGUUGUAAACCGCUGUCGCCUGUGACGAAGUGUGAGUGACGGUAAUGGGUAAAGAAGCACCGGCUAACUACGUG